Molecule: ribosomal RNA, 440 nt
Filed under: uncultured bacterium
Lineage: Bacteria
Description: partial 16S ribosomal RNA
Rfam family: Bacterial small subunit ribosomal RNA
Source: RNAcentral
CCUACGGGAGGCUGCAGUGGGGAAUAUUGCACAAUGGGGGAAACCCUGAUGCAGCGACGCCGCGUGAGUGAAGGAGUAAUUCGUUAUGUAAAGCCCUAUCAGCAGGGAAGAAAAUGACGGUACCUGAGUAAGAAGCCCCGGCUAACUACGUGCCAGCAGCCGCGGGAAUACGUAGGGGGCAGGCGUUAUCCGGAUUUACUGGGUGUAAAGGGAGCGUAGACGGCAGUGCAAGUCUGGAGGGAAAGGCGGGGGCUCAACCCCCGGACUGCUCUGGAAACUGUACGGCUGGAGUGCAGGAGAGGGAAGUGGAAUUCCUGGUGUAGCGGUGAAAUGCGUAGAUAUUAGGAGGAACACCAGUGGCGAAGGCGGCUUACUGGACUGUAACUGACGUUGAGGCACGAAAGCGUGGGGAGCAAACAGGAUUAGAUACCCUAGUAGUC